AAGACUGUACUUUCUGGGAUCAUUUCUAUAGUUUUUGACUUGAGAAAUGUGAUACUAAUUUGUAUGGUCUCGCUAACCACGAUGAAGAGUUGUGAUAUUCCCUUCUGAGUGUGAAGUGGAUAGAGAAUAAUGAUUCAUUUCAUACGUUUUCUAUCAUUGAUGAUUGUUCUUUAUGGAAUAUGGUUAGAGUGGU
Small nucleolar RNA from Poecilia formosa (Amazon molly), 193 nucleotides. Its record names the gene U3. It matches the Rfam family "Small nucleolar RNA U3". Rfam says of the family: Small nucleolar RNAs (snoRNAs) are involved in the processing and modification of rRNA in the nucleolus. There are two main classes of snoRNAs: the box C/D class, and the box H/ACA class. U3 snoRNA is a member of the box C/D class. The record is from Ensembl. NCBI's taxonomy places the organism in Eukaryota, Metazoa, Chordata, Actinopteri, Cyprinodontiformes, Poeciliidae.